UCAGGACGAACGCUGGCGGCGYGCCUAAUACAUGCAAGUCGAGCGGACAGAURGGAGCUUGCUCCAUGAUGUUAGCGGCGGACGGGUGAGUAACACGUGGGUAACCUGCCUGUAAGACUGGGAUAACUCCGGGAAACCGGGGCUAAUACCGGAUGGUUGUUUGAACCGCAUGGUUCAAACAUAAAAGGUGGCUUCGGCUACCACUUACAGAUGGACCCGCGGCGCAUUAGCUAGUUGGUGAGGUAAUGGCUCACCAAGGCAACGAUGCGUAGCCGACCUGAGAGGGUGAUCGGCCACACUGGGACUGAGACACGGCCCAGACUCCUACGGGAGGCAGCAGUAGGGAAUCUUCCGCAAUGGACGAAAGUCUGACGGAGCAACGCCGCGUGAGUGAUGAAGGUUUUCGGAUCGUAAAGCUCUGUUGUUAGGGAAGAACAAGUACCRUUCGAAUARGGCGGYACCUUGACGGUACCUAACCAGAAAGCCACGGCUAACUACGUGCCAGCAGCCGCGGUAAUACGUAGGUGGCAAGCGUUGUCCGGAAUUAUUGGGCGUAAAGGGCUCGCAGGCGGUUUCUUAAGUCUGAUGUGAAAGCCCCCGGCUCAACCGGGGAGGGUCAUUGGAAACUGGGRAACUUGAGUGCAGAAGAGGARAGUGGAAUUCCACGUGUAGCGGUGAAAUGCGUAGAGAURUGGAGGAACACCAGUGGCGAAGGCGACUYUCUGGUCUGUAACUGACGCUGAGGAGCGAAAGCGUGGGGAGCGAACAGGAUUAGAUACCCUGGUAGUCCACGCCGUAAACGAUGAGUGCUAAGUGUUAGRGGGUUUCCGCCCCUUAGUGCUGCAGCUAACGCAUAAG
Molecule: ribosomal RNA, 858 nt
Filed under: Bacillus subtilis
Lineage: Bacteria; Bacillati; Bacillota; Bacilli; Caryophanales; Bacillaceae
Description: bacterial SSU rRNA
Source: RNAcentral